This 1874-nucleotide ribosomal RNA is filed under the name Aerococcus sp. HMSC10H05. Its description in RNAcentral is "bacterial LSU rRNA". It matches the Rfam family "Bacterial large subunit ribosomal RNA", at positions 1 to 1895 of the family's 2925-position model. Lineage: Bacteria; Bacillati; Bacillota; Bacilli; Lactobacillales; Aerococcaceae. The record is from RNAcentral.
AUGGUUAAGUGAAUAAGGGCGCACGGUGGAUGCCUUGGCACUAGGAGCCGAUGAAGGACGGGACUAACACCGAUAUGCUUCGGGGAGCUGUACGUAAGCUUUGAUCCGGAGAUUUCCGAAUGGGGGAACCCAAUUGCUUUGAUAGGCAAUUACUUAACUAUUAAUACAUAGUAGUUUGAGAGGAAGACGCAGGGAACUGAAACAUCUCAUUACCUGUAGGAAGAGAAAGAAAAAUCGAUUUCCUGAGUAGCGGCGAGCGAAACGGAAAGAGCCCAAACCAAAGAGCUUGCUCUUUGGGGUUGUAGGACAGACGAUAUGUAGUUAAAGAUUUAGUCGAAUGGCAUGGAAAGGCCAAUCACAGAGGGUGACAAUCCCGUAGAUGAAAGAUCAAUAACGCUAGUCUGUAUCCUGAGUACGGCGGAACACGUGUAAUUCCGUCGGAAUCCGGGAGGACCAUCUCCCAAGGCUAAAUACUCCCUAGUGACCGAUAGUGAACCAGUACCGUGAGGGAAAGGUGAAAAGCACCCCGGGAGGGGAGUGAAAUAGUACCUGAAACCGUGUGCUUACAAGCAGUCAGAGCCCGUUAAUGGGUGAUGGCGUACUUUUUGUAGAACGGACCGGCGAGUUACGAUUGCAUGCAAGGUUAAGUUGCAGAAACGGAGCCAUAGCGAAAGCGAGUCUGAAUGGGGCGUCGAGUAUGUAGUCGUAUACCCGAAACCAAGUGACCUACCCAUGUGCAGGGUGAAGGUGUGGUAAAACGCACUGGAGGCCCGAACCCACGUCUGUUGAAAAAGGCGGGGAUGACGUGUGGGUAGCGGAGAAAUUCCAAUCGAACUUGGAGAUAGCUGGUUCUCUCCGAAAUAGCUUUAGGGCUAGCCUCGGAUGAUGAAUAUUGGAGGUAGAGCACUGUUUGAUCUAGGGGUCCAUCUAGGAUUACCGAAAUCUGAUAAACUCCGAAUGCCAAAUAUUUUAAUCCGGGAGUCAAACUGCGAGUGAUAAGAUCCGUAGUUGAAAGGGAAACAGCCCAGACCACCAGCUAAGGUCCCAAAGUUUCAGUUAAGUGGAAAAGGAUGUGGGGUUGCUUAGACAACUAGGAUGUUGGCUUAGAAGCAGCCAUCAUUUAAAGAGUGCGUAAUAGCUCACUAGUCGAGUGACCCUGCGCCGAAAAUGUACCGGGGCUAAACUGAACACCGAAGCUGUGGAUAUCCGUAUGGAUAUGGUAGGAGAGCGUUCUAAGGGCAGAGAAGCAAGAUCGAGAGGACUUGUGGAGCGCUUAGAAGUGAGAAUGCCGGUAUGAGUAGCGAAAGACGGGUGAGAAUCCCGUCCACCGUAUGACUAAGGUUUCCUGGGGAAGGCUCGUCCUCCCAGGGUUAGUCGGGACCUAAGCCGAGACCGAAAGGUGUAGGCGAUGGAUAACAGGUUGAGAUUCCUGUACUUGUUUGUAUUGUUUGAGCAAAGGAAGGACGCAGGAGGCUAAGCAGAGCACGUUAUUGGAUUCGUGUUCAAGCAGUGAGUCUGACACAGAGUGAAAUGCUUCGUGUUAAAGAUGAGCUGUGAUGAGGAGGGAAAUAUAGUACCGAAGCUGCUGACGUCACACUGCCAAGAAAAGUUUCUAGUUAGAUGCAAACAACCCGUACCGCAAACCGACACAGGUAGUCGAGGAGAGCAUCCUAAGGUGAGCGAGCGAACUCUCGUUAAGGAACUCGGCAAAAUAACCCCGUAACUUAGGGAGAAGGGGUGCUGACCAAUGGUCAGCCGCAGUGAAUAGGCCCAAGCGACUGUUUAUCAAAAACACAGGUCUCUGCAAAAUCGAAAGAUGACGUAUAGGGGCUGACGCCUGCCCGGUGCUGGAAGGUUAAGAGGAGUGCUUAGCA